RNAcentral lists this long non-coding RNA (1027 nucleotides) under Rhinopithecus bieti (black snub-nosed monkey). Its description in RNAcentral is "lncRNA (ENSRBIG00000045619.1)". Lineage: Eukaryota; Metazoa; Chordata; Mammalia; Primates; Cercopithecidae. The record is from RNAcentral.
GCAUAUGCUCGCGUCUUGGUGUGAAGGAGCUCUCGCCUGUGUUUCUUGCUAUACCCAUCUAAAUUCUGGAGUGAGGAAUUAAAUUAUUCCAGAAACCCUGCCAGUUUUUGAUUUGCCAUUGUCUCUGGUUCUUCGUUGCCUUUGAAUGGGACCCUUGAUCCGAGGCUUUCAUAGACCAGCCGGUGCUGAUGGGGUCCGGGACUUGACGAUGGCGCCUGCUCGUUCCUGUUGUGUUCUAUCUGAGGCAUGAUUUUCUUUCCUUCUUGGGAGGUAGAGAGCACGGGGCAGAGGUUGCACCUGACACAUUAGAACUCCGUUGUCACUGCUGUGGCUGUUAUUCCCCUCGGCAAGAGCCAAGGAGCAAACAGGACGUGAAGAUCCUGGUGUUACACAUCCAAUUGUUCACCUCCUUCCAAGACUAUGACAUUCCAGGAAACCUUCAGUGCUAAGAGGAACUGAUAUCUAGAGUAUCUCCUCGAGGAAGUACAACCGCAUUAUAAAUUAAGGAGGAAAAGUAACAAAGAGCUUGAAGACAUGCACAGCUCACAGGCCCCGGGUGGAGGCUGGCGGCAUCAGACAGACAGAACCAAGACAUCUGAGGGGCAACCAGGAGGUGCGUGUGGCUGCAGAGCACACAGCCACCAUCAAAUGUUCUUUUCCCCGACCUCGGCUACAGUUUUAUAUUUCUCAAACAUGCAGAUAAUGAUUGAUGGUGUCUGCCUGGCUACCUAGAUGAGUGAUUUUUCUGUGUCCUGGAUGCUGCUGCCGGAGCAAAUGUCAAAUGUCACACCGUGUCUCAGGCACAUGAUCAGACUAAAUAUGCUGGGAAGAAGCAAAUAAGAGGCUCUGUUAAUCAGUUAAUCAUCCCAUCACUAUAUUCCUUGCCUGAAAUGUGUGUGUGUGUGUUUUUUUUUUUUUUUUUUUUUUUUGGUCUGGGUCAUUUGUUUCUUAGUUCAUUGAAAUGUCUUGAAUGGAAAAUUGGGUUCUGCACACUGGGUCUGGCUGGUUGAGUCUGGCUGUGAAGACU